Molecule: ribosomal RNA, 479 nt
Filed under: uncultured bacterium
Lineage: Bacteria
Description: partial 16S ribosomal RNA
Rfam family: Bacterial small subunit ribosomal RNA
Source: RNAcentral
GAUGAACGCUGGCGGCGUGCUUAACACAUGCAAGUCGAGCGAGAAGUUUUGAAAAGAUUCUUCGGAUGAAAUUUAAAAUGGAAAGCGGCGGACGGGUGAGUAACACGUAGGCAACCUGCCCCAUACAAAGGGAUAGCAUUUGGAAACGAAUAUUAAUACCUUAUGAAACUUAACUAGUGCAUGCUAGGUAGGUCAAAGAUUUAUCGGUAUGGGAUGGGCCUGCGUCUGAUUAGCUAGUUGGUGAGGUAACGGCUCACCAAGGCGACGAUCAGUAGCCGACCUGAGAGGGUGAACGGCCACAUUGGAACUGAGACACGGUCCAAACUCCUACGGGAGGCAGCAGUGGGGAAUAUUGCACAAUGGGGGAAACCCUGAUGCAGCAACGCCGCGUGAACGAUGAAGGCCUUUGGGUCGUAAAGUUCUGUUCUAGGUGAUGAAAACUGACAGUAACCUAGGAGAAAGCCCCGGCUAACUCCGUG